UACGUAGGGGGCAAGCGUUAUCCGGAAUCAUUGGGCGUAAAGCGUGCGUAGGCGGUUUGCAAGGUCAGAGGUGAAAGGUCGGGGCUCAACCCCGGUUAGCCUUUGAAACCGGCAGACUUGAGUACAGGAGGGGAAAGUGGAAUUUCUAGUGUAGCGGUGGAAUGCGUAGAUAUUAGAAGGAACACCAGUGGCGAAGGCGACUUUCUGGACUGUAACUGACGCUGAGGCACGAAAGCGUGGGUAGCGAACAGG
RNAcentral lists this ribosomal RNA (252 nucleotides) under uncultured Guggenheimella sp. RNAcentral describes it as "partial 16S ribosomal RNA". It matches the Rfam family "Bacterial small subunit ribosomal RNA", at positions 524 to 776 of the family's 1533-position model. The record is from RNAcentral. Lineage: Bacteria; Bacillati; Bacillota; Clostridia; Peptostreptococcales; Guggenheimellaceae.